This is a small nuclear RNA of Camelus dromedarius (Arabian camel), 100 nucleotides long. Its record names the gene U2. It matches the Rfam family "U2 spliceosomal RNA". Rfam says of the family: U2 is a small nuclear RNA (snRNA) component of the spliceosome (involved in pre-mRNA splicing). Complementary binding between U2 snRNA (in an area lying towards the 5' end but 3' to hairpin I) and the branchpoint sequence (BPS) of the intron results the bulging out of an unpaired adenosine, on the BPS, which initiates a nucleophilic attack at the intronic 5' splice site, thus starting the first of two transesterification reactions that mediate splicing. The record is from Ensembl. NCBI's taxonomy places the organism in Eukaryota, Metazoa, Chordata, Mammalia, Artiodactyla, Camelidae.
AAGGCUUCUAGGCCUUCUGUCUAAGAUCAAGUGUAGUAGCUGUCCUUAUCAGUUUAGUAUCUGGUCCGUCCAGACAGAUGAAAUAUUUAUUCCAACCAAA